GACGAACGCUGGCGGCGUGCCUAAUACAUGCAAGUCGAACGAACCGCGACUAAGUGCUUGCACUAAGUCAAGGUGAGUGGCGAACGGGUGAGUAACACGUGGGUAACCCACCUCAUAGUGGGGGAUAACAGUCGGAAACGACUGCUAAUACCGCAUAGGACAUAGGAUCACAUGAUCCAGUGAGGAAAGGUGGCGCAAGCUAUCGCUAAGAGAUGGACCCGCGGUGCAUUAGCUAGUUGGUAGGGUAAAGGCCUACCAAGGCGAUGAUGCAUAGCCGACCUGAGAGGGUGAUCGGCCACAUUGGGACUGAGACACGGCCCAAACUCCUACGGGAGGCAGCAGUAGGGAAUCUUCCGCAAUGGACGCAAGUCUGACGGAGCAACGCCGCGUGAGUGAAGAAGGUCUUCGGAUCGUAAAGCUCUGUUGUUAGAGAAGAACAGCGCAUAGAGUAACUGCUAUGCGUGUGACGGUAUCUAACCAGAAAGCCACGGCUAACUACGUG
RNAcentral lists this ribosomal RNA (502 nucleotides) under uncultured bacterium. Its description in RNAcentral is "partial 16S ribosomal RNA". It matches the Rfam family "Bacterial small subunit ribosomal RNA", at positions 28 to 507 of the family's 1533-position model. The record is from RNAcentral.